CCUUUUCCAGGAACAAGCCCGCUGCCCGAGGUCGCUUCUGCAGUGUUCGGUUUCUUUAAACCAGUAAUGAAGACUGCAGCUUUAGGGCAUGACGUAGAGGAAAAGGGAAACUGUUCCGGACACAGAUGCUGACGUCAGAUCUCGUUGCCUUUUGGCUGAGCCAGUGCAAAAUGCAAGAUCCGAGUCCCGAGGUCUUUUUGGUACCAAACCAAAUUGAGCAUCCUGAAGUUUCAUCCUAUAUUAGGGCCUUUGGCUGCGCUCAGGGACUGCAAGUGUCCACAACAGCUCCAGCCACCCCUUUAGAUUUUAUCUGAAGUCAACAGCAGGAUUUUGGUGCCUCCUGAGGUCCUUUUUACCUGUCUGUAUUCGGUGGAUGACUCAACAUCUCUUGACAAAUGAAGGAAUUUGGAGUGAAAUAAAUACCUGUGUCUAUCA
This is a long non-coding RNA of Cygnus atratus (black swan), 435 nucleotides long. RefSeq lists it as uncharacterized. NCBI's taxonomy places the organism in Eukaryota, Metazoa, Chordata, Aves, Anseriformes, Anatidae. The transcript is spliced from 4 exons. The record is from RefSeq and is a predicted model, not a curated record.